Molecule: ribosomal RNA, 253 nt
Filed under: uncultured bacterium
Lineage: Bacteria
Description: partial 16S ribosomal RNA
Rfam family: Bacterial small subunit ribosomal RNA
Source: RNAcentral
UACAGAGGGUGCAAGCGUCAAUCGGAAUUACUGGGCGUAAAGCGCGCGUAGGUGGUUUGUUAAGUUGGAUGUGAAAGCCCCGGGCUCAACCUGGGAACUGCAUUCAAAACUGACAAGCUAGAGUAUGGUAGAGGGUGGUGGAAUUUCCUGUGUAGCGGUGAAAUGCGUAGAGAUCGGGAGGAACACCAGAGGCGAAGGCGGCGAACUGGACAGUAACUGACGCUGAGGAGCGAAAGCAUGGGGAGCGAACAGG